GAUGAACGCUGGCGGCGUGCCUAACACAUGCAAGUCGAGCGAUUUACUUCGGUAAAGAGCGGCGGACGGGUGAGUAACGCGUGGGUAACCUGCCCUGUACACACGGAUAACAUACCGAAAGGUAUGCUAAUACGAGAUAAUAUGCUUUUAUCGCAUGGUAGAAGUAUCAAAGCUUUUGCGGUACAGGAUGGACCCGCGUCUGAUUAGCUAGUUGGUGAGGUACGGCUCACCAAGGCGACGAUCAGUAGCCGACCUGAGAGGGUGAUCGGCCACAUUGGAACUGAGACACGGUCCAAACUCCUACGGGAGGCAGCAGUGGGGAAUAUUGCACAAUGGGCGAAAGCCUGAUGCAGCAACGCCGCGUGAGCGAUGAAGGCCUUCGGGUCGUAAAGCUCUGUCCUCAAGGAAGAUAAUGACGGUACUUGAGGAGGAAGCCCCGGCUAACUACGUG
RNAcentral lists this ribosomal RNA (451 nucleotides) under uncultured bacterium. RNAcentral's name for it is "partial 16S ribosomal RNA". It matches the Rfam family "Bacterial small subunit ribosomal RNA", at positions 28 to 507 of the family's 1533-position model. The record is from RNAcentral.